AGAGUUUGAUCCUGGCUCAGGACGAACGCUGGCGGCGUGCCUAAUACAUGCAAGUAGAACGCUGAAGGAGGAGCUUGCUUCUCUGGAUGAGUUGCGAACGGGUGAGUAACGCGUAGGUAACCUGCCUGGUAGCGGGGGAUAACUAUUGGAAACGAUAGCUAAUACUGCAUAACAGUAGAUGUUGCAUGACAUUUGCUUAAAAGGUGCAAUUGCAUCACUACCAGAUGGACCUGCGUUGUAUUAGCUAGUUGGUGGGGUAACGGCUCACCAAGGCGACGAUACAUAGCCGACCUGAGAGGGUGAUCGGCCACACUGGGACUGAGACACGGCCCAGACUCCUACGGGAGGCAGCAGUAGGGAAUCUUCGGCAAUGGACGGAAGUCUGACCGAGCAACGCCGCGUGAGUGAAGAAGGUUUUCGGAUCGUAAAGCUCUGUUGUAAGAGAAGAACGAGUGUGAGAGUGGAAAGUUCACACUGUGACGGUAUCUUACCAGAAAGGGACGGCUAACUACGUGCCAGCAGCCGCGGUAAUACGUAGGUCCCGAGCGUUGUCCGGAUUUAUUGGGCGUAAAGCGAGCGCAGGCGGUUAGAUAAGUCUGAAGUUAAAGGCUGUGGCUUAACCAUAGUACGCUUUGGAAACUGUUUAACUUGAGUGCAAGAGGGGAGAGUGGAAUUCCAUGUGUAGCGGUGAAAUGCGUAGAUAUAUGGAGGAACACCGGUGGCGAAAGCGGCUCUCUGGCUUGUAACUGACGCUGAGGCUCGAAAGCGUGGGGAGCAAACAAGAUUAGAUACCCUGGUAGUCCACGCCGUAAA
This 813-nucleotide ribosomal RNA is filed under the name uncultured bacterium. RNAcentral describes it as "bacterial SSU rRNA". It matches the Rfam family "Bacterial small subunit ribosomal RNA", at positions 8 to 806 of the family's 1533-position model. The record is from RNAcentral.